GCUGGCGGCGUGCCUAACACAUGCAAGUCGAACGAGAAACUCCGGGCUUGCUCGGAGGAGUAAAGUGGCGCACGGGUGAGUAGCGCGUGGGUAACCUGCCCUUGAAUCUGGGAUAACUUUGCGAAAGCAUUGCUAAUACCGGAUAUUGUUCCUGAAACCGUGGUUUUAGGAAUAAAAGGCGACCUCUUCGUGAAAGUUGCCGUUCGAGGAGGGGCUCGCGUACCAUUAGCUUGUUGGUGGGGUAAUGGCCUACCAAGGCUACGAUGGUUAGCUGGUCUGAGAGGAUGAUCAGCCACACUGGAACUGAAACACGGUCCAGACUCCUACGGGAGGCAGCAGUGAGGAAUUUUGCGCAAUGGGGGAAACCCUGACGCAGCAACGCCGCGUGAGUGAAGAAGGCUUUCGAGUCGUAAAGCUCUGUCAAGUGGGAAAAAAGCCUUUUGAUUAAUAGUCAACAGGUUUGAUGGUACUACUAGAGGAAGCACCG
Molecule: ribosomal RNA, 487 nt
Filed under: uncultured delta proteobacterium
Lineage: Bacteria; Deltaproteobacteria
Description: bacterial SSU rRNA
Rfam family: Bacterial small subunit ribosomal RNA
Source: RNAcentral